AGUUAAAAAAUAGGCUACCAUAUGAGAAUUGGUUUAAUAACCGGCCACCAGACAGGAAUUGGUUUUACAAUCGGCCACCAGACGAGAAUUGGUUUUGAAAACUAAUUUCCAAAUGAUAAAUGACUUUCAAAUAGUCUACCAGACGAGAACUGGUUUUUGAUGUUUGAUUUUUCAUGCUAUGGGCAUAUGCUCGACGAAUGAGAUUAUAUGCAUGGCUUAACGCUAGAGCUAAGUGACAUGAUUAAUGAAU
RNAcentral lists this long non-coding RNA (250 nucleotides) under Lathyrus oleraceus (garden pea). RNAcentral's name for it is "Pisum sativum (pea) long non-coding RNA (PSAT_LNC013371)". The record is from RNAcentral. Lineage: Eukaryota; Viridiplantae; Streptophyta; Magnoliopsida; Fabales; Fabaceae.